AGACGGAGGGCGCAAGCGUUGUUCGGAAUCACUGGGCAUAAAGAGUACGUAGGCGGUCUGCUAAGUCAGAUGUGAAAGCCCUGGGCUUAACCCGGGAACUGCAUUUGAUACUGGCAGACUUGAGGACAGCAGGGGUGAGUGGAACUUCAGGUGGAACGGUGAAAUGUGUAGAUAUCUGAAGGAACACCGGUGGCGAAAGCGGCUCACUGGGCUGUCUCUGACGCUGAGGUACGAAAGCUAGGGUCGCGAACGGGAUUAGAAACCCUAGUAGUCC
Molecule: ribosomal RNA, 274 nt
Filed under: uncultured bacterium
Lineage: Bacteria
Description: partial 16S ribosomal RNA
Rfam family: Bacterial small subunit ribosomal RNA
Source: RNAcentral